UACGAAGGGGGCUAGCGUUGUUCGGAAUUACUGGGCGUAAAGCGCGCGCAGGCGGCCGUCCAAGCCCGGCGUGAAAGCCCCCGGCUCAACCGGGGAACGUCGUCGGGGACUGGGGGGCUUGAGAACGGCAGGGGUCGGUGGAAUUCCCGGUGUAGUGGUGAAAUGCGUAGAGAUCGGGAGGAACACCCGUGGCGAAGGCGGCCGACUGGGCCGAUUCUGACGCUGAGGCGCGAAGGCGUGGGGAGCGAACGGG
Molecule: ribosomal RNA, 253 nt
Filed under: uncultured bacterium
Lineage: Bacteria
Description: partial 16S ribosomal RNA
Rfam family: Bacterial small subunit ribosomal RNA
Source: RNAcentral